GACGAACGCUGGCGGCGUGCUUAACACAUGCAAGUCGAACGGAAAGGCCUCUUUCGGGGGGUACUCGAGUGGCGAACGGGUGAGUAACACGUGAGUAACCUGCCCUUGACUUUGGGAUAACUUCCGGAAACUGGGGCUAAUACCGGAUAGGAGCUCCUGCUGCAUGGUGGGGGUUGGAAAGUUUCGGCGGUUGGGGAUGGACUCGCGGCUUAUCAGCUUGUUGGUGGGGUAGUGGCUUACCAAGGCUUUGACGGGUAGCCGGCCUGAGAGGGUGACCGGCCACAUUGGGACUGAGAUACGGCCCAGACUCCUACGGGAGGCAGCAGUGGGGAAUAUUGCACAAGGGGUGGAAGCCUGAUGCAGCAACGCCGUGUGCGGGAUGACGGCCUUCGGGUUGUAAACCGCUUUCGCUCAUGACGAAGCUUUGUGUGACGGUAGUGGGUAAAGAAGCACCGGCUAACUACGUG
This 467-nucleotide ribosomal RNA is filed under the name uncultured bacterium. RNAcentral describes it as "partial 16S ribosomal RNA". It matches the Rfam family "Bacterial small subunit ribosomal RNA", at positions 28 to 507 of the family's 1533-position model. The record is from RNAcentral.